AGCUUUGCAUAGUGGUAAUAUUGUAGUCAAUGAGGUUUAACCAAGGUGAGAUUAUGGUUAGUCAAAAACUUUCCCCAGUACCCCACCAUGACAGUUUGAAAUAUAGUUGACGCUGGCAAUUUUUGAUAGUUUCUACAGAGA
Molecule: small nuclear RNA, 141 nt
Filed under: Notamacropus eugenii (tammar wallaby)
Lineage: Eukaryota; Metazoa; Chordata; Mammalia; Diprotodontia; Macropodidae
Description: U4 spliceosomal RNA (ENSMEUG00000017191.1)
Rfam family: U4 spliceosomal RNA
About the family: U4 small nuclear RNA (U4 snRNA) is a component of the major U2-dependent spliceosome. The structure of U4 snRNA from yeast and human has been reported. U4 snRNA presents a k-turn RNA motif in the 5p-SL related to recognition of Snu13 protein.
Source: RNAcentral